This 1008-nucleotide long non-coding RNA is filed under the name Coturnix japonica (Japanese quail). RNAcentral's name for it is "lncRNA (ENSCJPG00005014516.1)". Lineage: Eukaryota; Metazoa; Chordata; Aves; Galliformes; Phasianidae. The record is from RNAcentral.
AUGCCCACCUCCCUGGGUGCCACAUCCCGGGCUGUGAGCCCUGCUCAGCCGCGCGGUGCGGCUCGUUACACGAAGCCAUUGCUGCCCGCACCCAGCCCGGCCGCCCUCGGGCACAGCGGCAGCUCUGCCCCCAGGAGCAUCGCCCCUCGGACAGCACCGCUACGGGACAAAGGGGGAGGCGGGAGGAGGAGGCUACAGCGCUCCUUCCUGAGACACGAGGGCCACCAGGACCCGCCGCUCGGCAGGGCCCCGUGGCGGCGCAGGGCCGGGCCGGCAGCACGAGGCCUCCGGGGGCCGCCGGGCCGGGUUGGGUCGGGUCGGGGCCGGGCGGGGCGAGAGCGGGCGGAGGAGGAGGAGGAGGAGGAGGAGGAGGAGGAGGAGGGCGGAGCGCGGGGCGGUCGCCCCUGGAGACGGCAGCGGGCGGCGGCGGUGAGUGCGGGCCGGGGGCUGCGGGCCGGGCGGGGGGUGGGCCCGGAACGGGCGGCGGUGGUCGCGGCGCUCGGGGCCGAGUUCGGAGCCGUCCGGCCGCUGUCGGGCCGGUUCUUUUUGUAUCUCAUUUCUCCCGGCUUUCCCCCGGUUGCGCCGUUCCGGGGUUGCGGGGCGGGACGGGCCGAGGGGCGGCGGGCUGAGCGCCGGGCUGUGCGGGCAGCGGGGCCUCCCCGGCGGGCAGAUCCCGGCGGUUCGGGCCGAGCCCCGCCGGGCGGCGGCCGCUCCAUCUCGGCGGAGGGAGAGGGCCGCUCCCGCCGGGCAGCGCCUCGCGGCCUGCGGGGCUGUGCGGGCCGGCACGUGGCGCUGCGGGGACGCGGCCUCGGCCUCGACCCGGUGUCGUGUCGUGCGGUGCCCGGAACCGGAGCGCGGCCCUGGAGCUGCGCGAGGCCGUGGCCGGGCCCUGAGAUGGGGGCAGCGGCACGAGGGGGUGAGCGCCGACAGCACCCGGCACCGAGCGAGGGGCGCUUGGUCGGCCGGACACUGUGCGGGCUGCGGGGCGGCCGUAAGGGGCUGGUUUGA